RNAcentral lists this ribosomal RNA (471 nucleotides) under uncultured bacterium. RNAcentral describes it as "bacterial SSU rRNA". It matches the Rfam family "Bacterial small subunit ribosomal RNA", at positions 329 to 793 of the family's 1533-position model. The record is from RNAcentral.
GCAGAGCAUCCUACGGGAGGCAGCAUGGGGGAAUAUUGCACAAUGGGCGCAAGCCUGAUGCAGCCAUGCCGCGUGUGUGAAGAAGGCCUUCGGGUUGUAAAGCACUUUCAGUCGUGAGGAAGGUGGUGUUGUUAAUAGCAGCAUCAUUUGACGUUAGCGACAGAAGAAGCACCGGCUAACUCCGUGCCAGCAGCCGCGGUAAUACGGAGGGUGCGAGCGUUAAUCGGAAUUACUGGGCGUAAAGCGCAUGCAGGUGGUUUGUUAAGUCAGAUGUGAAAGCCCGGGGCUCAACCUCGGAAUAGCAUUUGAAACUGGCAAGCUAGAGUACUGUAGAGGGGGUAGAAUUUCAGGUGUAGCGGUGAAAUGCGUAGAGAUCUGAAGGAAUACCGGUGGCGAAGGCGGCCCCCUGGACAGAUACUGACACUCAGAUGCGAAAGCGUGGGGAGCAAACAGGAUUAGAUACCCUGGUAG